CCUACGGGGGGCAGCAGUGGGGAAUAUUGCACAAUGGGCGCAAGCCUGAUGCAGCCAUGCCGCGUGUGUGAAGAAGGCCUUCGGGUUGUAAAGCACUUUCAGCGGGGAGGAAGGCGGUGAGGUUAAUAACCUCAUCGAUUGACGUUACCCGCAGAAGAAGCACCGGCUAACUCCGUGCCAGCAGCCGCGGUAAUACGGAGGGUGCAAGCGUUAAUCGGAAUUACUGGGCGUAAAGCGCACGCAGGCGGUCUGUCAAGUCGGAUGUGAAAUCCCCGGGCUCAACCUGGGAACUGCAUUCGAAACUGGCAGGCUAGAGUCUUGUAGAGGGGGGUAGAAUUCCAGGUGUAACGGUGAAAUGCGUAGAGAUCUGGAGGAAUACCGGUGGCGAAGGCGGCCCCCUGGACAAAGACUGACGCUCAGGUGCGAAAGCGUGGGGAGCAAACAGGAUUAGAUACCCGAGUAGUC
RNAcentral lists this ribosomal RNA (465 nucleotides) under uncultured Klebsiella sp. RNAcentral's name for it is "bacterial SSU rRNA". It matches the Rfam family "Bacterial small subunit ribosomal RNA", at positions 338 to 795 of the family's 1533-position model. Lineage: Bacteria; Pseudomonadati; Pseudomonadota; Gammaproteobacteria; Enterobacterales; Enterobacteriaceae. The record is from RNAcentral.